UUUUAAGUUGUUAGCUUGCAGUUAAAAUAAUAUGCAUGAGCUCUGCAAGUGCUUUUUCUCCUUUCUCAGUCUCUAACUCCCAGCUAAACCUGGUACAUAGCUGUACCAGUGCUAUUCCCCUUCCUGUUGUGGAAGUUGUCCUUUGCUCGGUGUUAGGGGGGAAGUGGCCAAGUAGCCUUAUUGGCUUACAAAAGUAAGGGAAGUAAGAGACAACACUGGGAACUCCUGUUCUAACAAUGUAAUACUAACAAAGAAGCGUUAAUGCGUAACAAAGGAAAAUAGGCAUCUGUUACUUAACACCUAUUUCUGACCUAGUUGGAUCCUUGGGAUAAACUUUAAUGUAAUUUCCUUGUUUAAAGAGAAUUUUCCUGAGCUGCUUUAAUAAACUUCUACAGGAAUGUGUGCUGUAAAUUCCAGUGCCUCCUUCUAGAAUUCAUCUUCCUCUGAAUUCAGUAACUCACAAAAGAUGAGAGCUACAUAAGAAAGAACUGUUAUACAGGUUCUUUGUUAGCAGCCUUCUAAUGUCAUGGCCUGGAGCAGCGAAGCAGCAGCAGGGCUGUGCAUAGGACGAAGGAGAAGCCCACACAGGAGGGACUACAUCCUAAAUAGCUGAGAACUCAGAAGAACCUAACUCUGCCAGUACCAGCAUACUGUCAAAUUUCAAGGCCAAUGGUUUUAUAAGUUCAAAAUAUUCAGAUAAUGCCCCAGUUUGGCCACAGCCUUUCCACAAGGUGAACUGCUAAAAAGCACUGCCAGAACUAAGCAUGGACCCUUUCAAGAAAGAGGACCUCUGCUCCUUUAAGACAUUUAAGCUCCUGUGGUCUUAAAGAAAUAACAUUCUGUUUCUAAAACUGCCACCAUUGCACAUGGACCACAACUUCGGUCAUAAGCUGAAUAGUUUCUGUGAGAAGUUCGCUGGAGAGAAAACAACUUUUUACUUGUCAGGAAUAAGUCAAAAUGCCGACCGCUUAACUUCUAAGAUCCAGAAAAUGCUGACAUCUUAAAUAAUUUUCCUCAAAUGUUCCUAAAUUAUCUAAAUAUGAAAAGGAACAAACACUCAAAAGGGAUCCAAUGAAAAUAUGCCUCUUGUUGCAAAAUAAUAAUACUGUUUUAGUAGCAUAGUACUAUAAAAAUUUUUAAAUUCAGACUGCAAUAUGUUUGAUAUUCAGACUGCAAAAUGAAAAAGUCAGUUACUGGAGUAAUCAAGGUCUAUUUUUAAAACAGAUUAUUUACUUUAUGCAAGAUUUUAUACCUCCAGACUGUAAUUAUACAAUGAUAGUAACUAUAAACUUUUAAAAACAAUUUGAAUAUAUUGUCAUUGAAUAUUUUACUUAAAGAUGACUAAUAAGAAAAUAAAUGCAUGAUGAUAAAAUGUCAUUUCUCCUCUGUAUAUAGUAAAAUAUUAAGUAGAAUAACACAAAUAAGUAGAUUCCUCAGGCAAAAUAAAAUGUCUGUAGAAAAAUAUAGGCACUUAAUAUUGUUAUUAUAUGUGCACGUUAUAUACACACAUUCAGAGAUAUAUGAAUGUCUUUGGUUUACCUAAUAUCAAGGUAUUCAGAAUUCUGCAGAAUCCUAAUGCACAUUCCUAUUAAACUGGCAGUAAUGUUAUCAAAUAUGAAUGUUCCUAUGGCCCAAAUGAAUAUUAUUUUUUUUCAGUGUGUUUUGCUUGCUAAAAAUAAGUGAAAAUAAAACACAACAAAUAAUUGA
This is a long non-coding RNA of Anas platyrhynchos (mallard), 1707 nucleotides long. RefSeq lists it as uncharacterized. Lineage: Eukaryota; Metazoa; Chordata; Aves; Anseriformes; Anatidae. The record is from RefSeq and is a predicted model, not a curated record.